GUCAGGUCCAGCGUGUAGGUGAGGCCCGAGGAGAUCUGGAGGAUCUUCGGGGACGCCGCGUUCGUGCCGCUGACCUGCUCC
Molecule: transfer RNA, 81 nt
Filed under: Streptomyces chartreusis
Lineage: Bacteria; Bacillati; Actinomycetota; Actinomycetes; Kitasatosporales; Streptomycetaceae
Also listed under: 1 other name
Description: tRNA-Ser
Source: RNAcentral